Molecule: ribosomal RNA, 497 nt
Filed under: uncultured bacterium
Lineage: Bacteria
Description: partial 16S ribosomal RNA
Rfam family: Bacterial small subunit ribosomal RNA
Source: RNAcentral
GAUGAACGCUGGCGGCGUGCCUAAUACAUGCAAGUCGAGCGAACGGACGAGAAGCUUGCUUCUCUGAUGUUAGCGGCGGACGGGUGAGUAACACGUGGAUAACCUACCUAUAAGACUGGGAUAACUUCGGGAAACCGGAGCUAAUACCGGAUAAUAUUUUGAACCGCAUGGUUCAAAAGUGAAAGACGGUCUUGCUGUCACUUAUAGAUGGAUCCGCGCUGCAUUAGCUAGUUGGUAAGGUAACGGCUUACCAAGGCAACGAUGCAUAGCCGGCCUGAGAGGGUGAUCGGCCACACUGGAACUGAGACACGGUCCAGACUCCUACGGGAGGCAGCAGUAGGGAAUAUUCGGCAAUGGGCGAAAGCCUGACGGAGCAACGCCGCGUGAGUGAUGAAGGUCUUCGGAUCGUAAAACUCUGUUAUUAGGGAAGAACAUAUGUGUAAGUAACUGUGCACAUCUUGACGGUACCUAAUCAGAAAGCCACGGCUAACUACGUG